RNAcentral lists this long non-coding RNA (567 nucleotides) under Sinocyclocheilus anshuiensis. Its description in RNAcentral is "lncRNA (ENSSANG00000040826.1)". The record is from RNAcentral. Lineage: Eukaryota; Metazoa; Chordata; Actinopteri; Cypriniformes; Cyprinidae.
GAGCUAUAGGCCAGAUUCCUUACAGCGCACCAGUCAUUGCAACUGGGCUUGAUGUUGAUGCUGGUUAUCCUUUUGGUGCUGAGCAACUCAGUCGGGGUGCUGAUGCUACAAAGACAGCUGGCAAAUAUGGCACAGGCUAUGCAGCUGCACUAAGUACUGGUGGUCAGGGGCCCUAUGGUGGACAAAAUGAUGGAAGCAAGCUUAGUGGCACUUAUGGGAAUGGGUACAAAGGUUGAUUUCCAAGACCAUGCUGUUAACUUUGUCAGUGUUUUUUUGGCCCCUUUUUGCCUAGUAUUCCUCACCGUUGUGCAGUUUUGUGACAUGUUUUUGUUUGCCAUAUUGUUUUAGUUUUAGGUUUGUGCCCAUUUGUGUGGGCAUGUGUGUUUUGUGUGUACGUGUGGUUUUAAUGUUCAUUGUUAUGUUCCUUGAUGUUUCCCCAGUCUGUUCAUUUGUUUUGUCCGGUGGAGUGUUUAAUGUCCCUUGUGUGUCUCUGUAUCUAACUAAAACAUGCUAAACACUUCAUUGGCUGUUAUUUUAAUUCUUAUGAAACACUAAAUAUUCCACCUC